AGAGUUUGAUCCUGGCUCAGGAUGAACGCUAGCUACAGGCUUAACACAUGCAAGUCGAGGGGAAACGAUAUUGGAGGCUUGCUUCCGAUAGGCGUCGACCGGCGCACGGGUGAGUAACGCGUAUCCAACCUGCCCACCACUUGGGGAUAACCUUGCGAAAGUAAGACUAAUACCCAAUGAUAUCUCUAGAAGACAUCUGAAAGAGAUUAAAGAUUUAUCGGUGAUGGAUGGGGAUGCGUCUGAUUAGCUUGUUGGCGGGGUAACGGCCACCAAGGCGACGAUCAGUAGGGGUUCUGAGAGGAAGGUCCCCCANAUUGGAACUGAGACACGGUCCAAACUCCGUACGGGAGGCA
Molecule: ribosomal RNA, 353 nt
Filed under: uncultured bacterium
Lineage: Bacteria
Description: bacterial SSU rRNA
Rfam family: Bacterial small subunit ribosomal RNA
Source: RNAcentral